UUACAAUAGAUUUUACCGUCAGACCACGAGAUACCUUUCUGUUGGGCCAUUGCAUUGCCACUGAUUUUCCAACAUAUAAAAAGACAAGCCCGAACAGUCGUCCGGGCUUUUUUU
This 114-nucleotide unclassified non-coding RNA is filed under the name synthetic construct. RNAcentral's name for it is "mARi-B". The record is from RNAcentral.